Molecule: long non-coding RNA, 221 nt
Filed under: Sorghum bicolor (sorghum)
Lineage: Eukaryota; Viridiplantae; Streptophyta; Magnoliopsida; Poales; Poaceae
Description: long non-coding RNA (SBIC_LNC004767)
Source: RNAcentral
UUUUCUUUUCUUUUGUUUUUUGCAGAUUUCAUGGAUAAACUUUGGAAAUGCAUAGAAAUUCGUAGAAAAGUCGUAAAAUAGCAAAUGUGGUCUUUUUGGAAUCCUUGUGAAAUUCUCUAUGCAGUAGAUCUAUAAUAUGGCAUGUUUUAGUUUGCAGAUUUAGUCUUAAAAAUAGAUUUAUGCAGUUAGGUUUUAAUUGCUUGUUAUAUUUGUCUUUUUCA